This 1549-nucleotide ribosomal RNA is filed under the name Pectobacterium sp. RNAcentral describes it as "bacterial SSU rRNA". It matches the Rfam family "Bacterial small subunit ribosomal RNA". Lineage: Bacteria; Pseudomonadati; Pseudomonadota; Gammaproteobacteria; Enterobacterales; Pectobacteriaceae. The record is from RNAcentral.
UUAAAUUGAAGAGUUUGAUCAUGGCUCAGAUUGAACGCUGGCGGCAGGCCUAACACAUGCAAGUCGAGCGGUAGCACAGGAGAGCUUGCUCUCUGGGUGACGAGCGGCGGACGGGUGAGUAAUGUCUGGGAAACUGCCUGAUGGAGGGGGAUAACUACUGGAAACGGUAGCUAAUACCGCAUAACGUCUUCGGACCAAAGAGGGGGACCUUAGGGCCUCUUGCCAUCGGAUGUGCCCAGAUGGGAUUAGCUAGUAGGCGGGGUAAUGGCCCACCUAGGCGACGAUCCCUAGCUGGUCUGAGAGGAUGACCAGCCACACUGGAACUGAGACACGGUCCAGACUCCUACGGGAGGCAGCAGUGGGGAAUAUUGCACAAUGGGCGCAAGCCUGAUGCAGCCAUGCCGCGUGUGUGAAGAAGGCCUUCGGGUUGUAAAGCACUUUCAGCGGGGAGGAAGGCAAUAAGGCUAAUAUCCUUAUUGAUUGACGUUACCCGCAGAAGAAGCACCGGCUAACUCCGUGCCAGCAGCCGCGGUAAUACGGAGGGUGCAAGCGUUAAUCGGAAUGACUGGGCGUAAAGCGCACGCAGGCGGUCUGUUAAGUCAGAUGUGAAAUCCCCGAGCUUAACUUGGGAACUGCAUUUGAAACUGGCAGGCUAGAGUCUUGUAGAGGGGGGUAGAAUUCCAGGUGUAGCGGUGAAAUGCGUAGAGAUCUGGAGGAAUACCGGUGGCGAAGGCGGCCCCCUGGACAAAGACUGACGCUCAGGUGCGAAAGCGUGGGGAGCAAACAGGAUUAGAUACCCUGGUAGUCCACGCUGUAAACGAUGUCGAUUUGGAGGUUGUGCCCUUGAGGCGUGGCUUCCGGAGCUAACGCGUUAAAUCGACCGCCUGGGGAGUACGGCCGCAAGGUUAAAACUCAAAUGAAUUGACGGGGGCCCGCACAAGCGGUGGAGCAUGUGGUUUAAUUCGAUGCAACGCGAAGAACCUUACCUACUCUUGACAUCCAGAGAACUUAGCAGAGAUGCUUUGGUGCCUUCGGGAACUCUGAGACAGGUGCUGCAUGGCUGUCGUCAGCUCGUGUUGUGAAAUGUUGGGUUAAGUCCCGCAACGAGCGCAACCCUUAUCCUUUGUUGCCAGCGGUUAGGCCGGGAACUCAAAGGAGACUGCCAGUGAUAAACUGGAGGAAGGUGGGGAUGACGUCAAGUCAUCAUGGCCCUUACGAGUAGGGCUACACACGUGCUACAAUGGCGUAUACAAAGAGAAGCGACCUCGCGAGAGCAAGCGGACCUCAUAAAGUACGUCGUAGUCCGGAUUGGAGUCUGCAACUCGACUCCAUGAAGUCGGAAUCGCUAGUAAUCGUAGAUCAGAAUGCUACGGUGAAUACGUUCCCGGGCCUUGUACACACCGCCCGUCACACCAUGGGAGUGGGUUGCAAAAGAAGUAGGUAGCUUAACCUUCGGGAGGGCGCUUACCACUUUGUGAUUCAUGACUGGGGUGAAGUCGUAACAAGGUAACCGUAGGGGAACCUGCGGUUGGAUCACCUCCUUACCAAG